This 721-nucleotide unclassified non-coding RNA is filed under the name Hevea brasiliensis (rubber tree). The record is from RNAcentral. Lineage: Eukaryota; Viridiplantae; Streptophyta; Magnoliopsida; Malpighiales; Euphorbiaceae.
CCAGAUUCAAGUAAUUAAUGUUUUCACUUUGCUUUGCAAUCUCAUAUUCUUAUACCUUCAAUCCUAAAGCUUACAAUCAGCAGCAAUCAACUCUAAGAAGAUCUAGAACAAUAAAGCCAGAUUUCAAUUAAAAAUACAAAUAACAGAUGCACUAUCAUUUUUCUUGCAAGUUAAUAAAAUGGUCUAUAGGCAUCUUUCAAAAUUGAGCUCAGUAGCAAGUCCUGUAGACUAGCAUACCUACCUGCCAGCAUAAAGAAUCACUUGGAAUAUAUACAUUAAGAAGUGAAACGCAUUCCAGAGAAUUUCUCAAGCUUUCUUUUUGCUUGACACGGUACAUAUUUCAUGGAACCUCAAUGGUUGUUUCAUUCUUCAAACAAACAUCCCCAAAACAUUACCAUAAAUUUUAUUACAUCUUCUCCUCUGCUGGAUUUCUUGAGAUAUACACAUCUGGAAUCGCCCUUGUUUGCAAGUAUCCUGGACAGAGAAUGGGAACCUGAGUAUCACUUGAGAAAUUUGGACCAUGAGGAAAAUCAUGGAUUUGUUGUUGAUUUGAGCUGUAGAUAGAUGAUCUGGUUGCUUUGAGACUUUCCAUUCUAGAACUUGCUAAUGCUGAGACAGGAAAAUCACGUACAUUUAAGUCCAUCUUGUUGAACAUGAGAUUUGCAAUAGCCCUGUCAAUGGUGUUGGUCUCCAAUUCCAUAGUUUUCUUUCCUCCAGGCCU